RNAcentral lists this ribosomal RNA (470 nucleotides) under uncultured bacterium. RNAcentral describes it as "bacterial LSU rRNA". It matches the Rfam family "Bacterial large subunit ribosomal RNA", at positions 1366 to 1807 of the family's 2925-position model. The record is from RNAcentral.
UCGUCAUCGUAGGGUUAGUCGGGACCUAAGUCGAGUCCGAAAGGGGUAGACGAUGGCAAAUUGGUUAAUAUUCCAAUACCGAUGUUGCAUCGCUUGAGUGAUGGGGGGACGCAUAGAGUUAAACGAGGUCACUGAUGGAAUAGUGGCUCGAAGGACGUAGGUCGUGAAGUAGGAAAAUCCGCUUCACACGAGACCGAGAUCUUACAGGCUGUUGACGCUCUUCGGAGUUGAUUCAGAAUCGUUGAUACUGUCGUGCCGAGAAAAGCCUCUAAACGAGAUGUAACAUUGCCCGUACCGUAAACCGACACAGGUGGGUGAGAUGAGUAUUCUAAGGCGCGUGGAAGAACCCUGGUUAAGGAACUCUGCAAACUAGCACCGUAUCUUCGGUAGAAGGUGUGCCCUAUUUGUAAUCGGAUUUACUCUGAGAAGCACUGAUGGGUCGCAGCAAAGAGUCCCUCCCGACUGUUUAC